This is a non-coding RNA of Triticum urartu, 136 nucleotides long. The record is from Rfam. NCBI's taxonomy places the organism in Eukaryota, Viridiplantae, Streptophyta, Magnoliopsida, Poales, Poaceae.
AUGAUAUUACCUCCGUCCCAAAAAGCUUGUUUUGGAUAUAUUUAGAUACGGGUUAAUCUAAUAAUAAAAUAUGUUUAGAUACAUCGGUGGCUAGACAAAUCUAAGAUAAACUUUUUUGGAACGGAGGCAGUAUUUG